CGUCAUUCAUUUUUGCGACGGCGAUGAUGUUCUGGGUGUUGACCAGACGAAUGCGCGUAUUGGCCUCGGCCACGCCGCUCAGCGGCGAGAAAUGGAAGGUGGCAACGCCGGCGCGCGGAUUUUCGUCGGCCACGAUCAGCACGUCGGUGACGUAGGAUUGCUCGGUCAUCGGGCUCUCGACCGACACCGUGAUCGGAACGGUGUUUCCGUUCUCGGCGAUUUCCGGCAGAUCGAGCUUGACCUUGCCAUCGGUGGCCGCCUUGCCGCCGGUGAAUUGCUUGAUCACAUCUUCGUAGUCAUUCUUGGCCAAGGCUGGCGUGAUCGAUUGGCCAAACGCGGCCACGGCCACGGCGCCCGCGCCGAUCGUCAGGGCCUGCCGGCGGUUCAAGGUCAUUCUCAU
Molecule: unclassified non-coding RNA, 400 nt
Filed under: uncultured fungus
Lineage: Eukaryota; Fungi
Description: sequence contains ITS1
Source: RNAcentral